Molecule: long non-coding RNA, 952 nt
Organism: Ostrea edulis (European flat oyster)
Lineage: Eukaryota; Metazoa; Mollusca; Bivalvia; Ostreida; Ostreidae
Exons: 2
Source: RefSeq, a predicted model, not a curated record
GUCGUAGUUUGUUUUUUUACUUUCGGUUUGAAUUCAGUGAACUGCUUGGGUUUUAACAAUAAUCAAUGAAAUCUAUUUGCACUUGUGUUACAAAGUGCGAAUGGGGAAAUGAGAAAUCCCCUUUUUAAUUGUUACGGUGGGAUAUUUAAAUUUUGAUUACAGUUACCAUUACGACGCUGCAUGGGCACAUGCGUCAGCGAUUGUUAUUAAUCAUCGAGCCCUAUAGGGUCGGAAAGUCUCGUUUACUUUCACUUUCGAUUUACUACUUCCGGGCAGCUGUCGAAAAAUGUCACUUUGUUUUGCUUUGGUUAUGCUCAGAUGACAGCGUUAAAAUGAACCUACAGCCUAUAUAGAUUCCCUACUUAUGCAAAGAGAGGAAGAAGUGGAUUUAUAGAUGCAGAUGCUGUUAUAUACAUCAUUACCGUCAGAAGUAUCAAUGUGUUGGUGGCUGUUAUGAAGAGAAUGGGCCCAUUUUAACAACUUCUAGGAUGGGCGGUACAAGGGUUCAUACCAGUGACCAAUGAAGCACAGCUGUUACAAGACCAGGAAGAGUCAAAUUCAUGUGGAGUGUGCAAUUGAAUUUAAUUAAAAACAUCCAUAUUCUAAAUCAUAUACCUUCACAAUACAGACAUAUAUAUCUGUCCACUAAGAUUUUCAACUCUGUGUGACUCUUGUACAUUUGCAAAUCCUCUACUGAAGGAAAUAGCUGAUAUGAAUUUCACAAUUAAUUAAAUCUUACCUUUGGACUUAGAUACUAUAAAUGUACAACUUCUUACUCACAUUAUUCUGGAUUGUCAAGUUGUAUUAAAUGCAUUCAAGUAAAUGAUAAAGUGAACAUUUAUUUAAGGUUGCUAGUCAAAGAAAUUGUUACAAUGGUGAUUCAUGCACAUCUUCACACUGAUCAUUUGUAGCAAAAACAAAAUAAAACUAAUGGAAGACAUUUGAAUUUUCA